Molecule: ribosomal RNA, 1431 nt
Filed under: Vibrio alginolyticus
Lineage: Bacteria; Pseudomonadati; Pseudomonadota; Gammaproteobacteria; Vibrionales; Vibrionaceae
Description: bacterial SSU rRNA
Rfam family: Bacterial small subunit ribosomal RNA
Source: RNAcentral
ACACAUGCAAGUCGAGCGGAAACGAGUUAUCUGAACCUUCGGGGAACGAUAACGGCGUCUAGCGGCGGACGGGUGAGUAAUGCCUAGGAAAUUGCCCUGAUGUGGGGGAUAACCAUUGGAAACGAUGGCUAAUACCGCAUGAUGCCUACGGGCCAAAGAGGGGGACCUUCGGGCCUCUCGCGUCAGGAUAUGCCUAGGUGGGAUUAGCUAGUUGGUGAGGUAAGGGCUCACCAAGGCGACGAUCCCUAGCUGGUCUGAGAGGAUGAUCAGCCACACUGGAACUGAGACACGGUCCAGACUCCUACGGGAGGCAGCAGUGGGGAAUAUUGCACAAUGGGCGCAAGCCUGAUGCAGCCAUGCCGCGUGUGUGAAGAAGGCCUUCGGGUUGUAAAGCACUUUCAGUCGUGAGGAAGGUGGUGUAGUUAAUAGCUGCAUUAUUUGACGUUAGCGACAGAAGAAGCACCGGCUAACUCCGUGCCAGCAGCCGCGGUAAUACGGAGGGUGCGAGCGUUAAUCGGAAUUACUGGGCGUAAAGCGCAUGCAGGUGGUUUGUUAAGUCAGAUGUGAAAGCCCGGGGCUCAACCUCGGAAUAGCAUUUGAAACUGGCAGACUAGAGUACUGUAGAGGGGGGUAGAAUUUCAGGUGUAGCGGUGAAAUGCGUAGAGAUCUGAAGGAAUACCGGUGGCGAAGGCGGCCCCCUGGACAGAUACUGACACUCAGAUGCGAAAGCGUGGGGAGCAAACAGGAUUAGAUACCCUGGUAGUCCACGCCGUAAACGAUGUCUACUUGGAGGUUGUGGCCUUGAGCCGUGGCUUUCGGAGCUAACGCGUUAAGUAGACCGCCUGGGGAGUACGGUCGCAAGAUUAAAACUCAAAUGAAUUGACGGGGGCCCGCACAAGCGGUGGAGCAUGUGGUUUAAUUCGAUGCAACGCGAAGAACCUUACCUACUCUUGACAUCCAGAGAACUUUCCAGAGAUGGAUUGGUGCCUUCGGGAACUCUGAGACAGGUGCUGCAUGGCUGUCGUCAGCUCGUGUUGUGAAAUGUUGGGUUAAGUCCCGCAACGAGCGCAACCCUUAUCCUUGUUUGCCAGCGAGUAAUGUCGGGAACUCCAGGGAGACUGCCGGUGAUAAACCGGAGGAAGGUGGGGACGACGUCAAGUCAUCAUGGCCCUUACGAGUAGGGCUACACACGUGCUACAAUGGCGCAUACAGAGGGCGGCCAACUUGCGAAAGUGAGCGAAUCCCAAAAAGUGCGUCGUAGUCCGGAUUGGAGUCUGCAACUCGACUCCAUGAAGUCGGAAUCGCUAGUAAUCGUGGAUCAGAAUGCCACGGUGAAUACGUUCCCGGGCCUUGUACACACCGCCCGUCACACCAUGGGAGUGGGCUGCAAAAGAAGUAGGUAGUUUAACCUUCGGGGGGACGCUUACCACG